CAAAGGCAAGAGGUUAAUUAUUUAUAUAAAAACCGCCAAAGUGAUUAUAAGGGAGUCUAAUUGUCUUGUGGUGCUGGAUGAUCGGCUUGACCGAUAACCCUAAAGCAAGCAUGUGACACCCACCUGCGAGCAUGCGGGGAUUUUAUCACAGAUUAACCUUCCUUUGGCCUUUUU
RNAcentral lists this non-coding RNA (174 nucleotides) under Bacillota bacterium. Its description in RNAcentral is "6S RNA". It matches the Rfam family "6S / SsrS RNA". From Rfam's summary of the family: E. coli 6S RNA was the first non coding RNA to be sequenced, but its function was unknown until recently. It consists of 184 nucleotides that fold into an extended hairpin structure with a large single-stranded internal bulge. The record is from RNAcentral. Lineage: Bacteria; Bacillati; Bacillota.